RNAcentral lists this transfer RNA (73 nucleotides) under Luffa aegyptiaca (smooth loofah). RNAcentral's name for it is "tRNA-Ala". The record is from RNAcentral. Lineage: Eukaryota; Viridiplantae; Streptophyta; Magnoliopsida; Cucurbitales; Cucurbitaceae.
UGGAGAUAAGCGGACUCGAACCGCUGACAUCCGCCACAGGAGAGCGGAGCUCUACCAACUGAGCUAUAUCCCC